Molecule: long non-coding RNA, 1006 nt
Filed under: Setaria viridis
Lineage: Eukaryota; Viridiplantae; Streptophyta; Magnoliopsida; Poales; Poaceae
Description: long non-coding RNA (SVIR_LNC006432)
Source: RNAcentral
AUAAAUGAAAAAUCUUUAUUGCAAGGAGAAUGAAAGGGUGGGAUAUACCUGUGAACGGCGGUCGGGACUGCUGAUGUAACAGGAAGUCAGGACUGCUGGUAUAUGCCCCUCCAAGUUCUCUCUUGCUCUUGGUAAAUACUUGCAGAAAUAUGAAAAUCCACUCAAAUCUACCUCUUCUAGACCAUAUCUAACCUCCCCCAGACCAUAGAAGACUUGGAAAUAUAAACUAUCCGACAUGCCUGCCAACAUACACGAAACGAGCAGUCCAAGUUACUCUCAAUAACUUAAAUCAGUUAACUAUACGACACCUUCAUUUCAAUAAACGGUGAAAUCAUUUAAUUCUAUCAUCCACACUAACAACUAUUUAAGAGUAAACCAACCUUACGAACUAAAUUUAUCAUAGGCAUCUACCCGGGACAAUAUACGCGACAAGCACAAAGGUUCUUACUAAAUCUAAUAAUUCUAACUACCCCUAUAAUAACUACAUUGUCAAUACCUAACCAAAAUAUAACCGUAGCAAUGCAAAUAAUAUUCAUCUAAAUUUAAUAUACAUAAAUCAACAAACUAAAUUUAAUGUAAACUAAAUACCUAAGCUAAAUCCACUAUACUAACUAAGCUAUAUUUUUUUAUGUCUAAAAUCCGCUAGAUUUUUUCUAAGUUUCAGAUCUACUACACUAACUACUAGAUCUAUAUACUACUACAUCUAUCAACUACACUAUCUACAUUAACUAACCUACGAGAUUUUAAAAAAUACUUGAAAUGAAGCGACGACCGAAACUUCAAUCUUCCCCUUCCCCUCCCUCCUCCUCCUCCUCCUCCUCCUCCCUCCCUCCCUCCUUCUCCUCUCCUCUCUUCUCCCUCAGUCUCUCGCUAGCUUCCUCGCUCGGUUUGGCUCCCUCGCUCGGUCUGGCGCUGGUGCAUGGCGCGCGGGCGCGCGCCCUAUUUAUAACAGGAGGUCCCGCUGGCUCAUUUGGCGGCAAGGGAUGCCUCCCACCGUUUGAACUAG